RNAcentral lists this transfer RNA (62 nucleotides) under Callibia diana. Its description in RNAcentral is "tRNA-Thr". It matches the Rfam family "tRNA". Rfam says of the family: Transfer RNA (tRNA) molecules are approximately 80 nucleotides in length. Lineage: Eukaryota; Metazoa; Arthropoda; Insecta; Mantodea; Acanthopidae. The record is from RNAcentral.
GUUUUAAUAGUUUAAACAAAACAUUGGUCUUGUAAACCAAAAUUAAGGUUCCUUUUAAAACU